This 440-nucleotide ribosomal RNA is filed under the name uncultured bacterium. Its description in RNAcentral is "partial 16S ribosomal RNA". It matches the Rfam family "Bacterial small subunit ribosomal RNA", at positions 338 to 795 of the family's 1533-position model. The record is from RNAcentral.
CCUACGGGCGGCAGCAGUAGGGAAUAUUGCUCAAUGGGGGAAACCCUGAAGCAGCAACGCCGCGUGGAGGAUGAAGGUUUUCGGAUUGUAAACUCCUUUUGUUAGAGAAGAUAAUGACGGUAUCUAACGAAUAAGCACCGGCUAACUCCGUGCCAGCAGCCGCGGUAAUACGGAGGGUGCAAGCGUUACUCGGAAUCACUGGGCGUAAAGAGGGCGUAGGCGGGAUAGCAAGUCAGAUGUGAAAUCCUAUGGCUUAACCCUAGAACUGCAUUUGAAACUGUUAUUCUAGAGUAUGGGAGAGGUAGGUGGAAUUCUUGGUGUAGGGGUAAAAUCCGUAGAGAUCAAGAGGAAUACUCAUUGCGAAGGCGACCUGCUAGAACAUAACUGACGCUGAUGCGCGAAAGCGUGGGGAGCAAACAGGAUUAGAUACCCUUGUAGUC